RNAcentral lists this ribosomal RNA (433 nucleotides) under uncultured bacterium. RNAcentral's name for it is "partial 16S ribosomal RNA". It matches the Rfam family "Bacterial small subunit ribosomal RNA", at positions 29 to 507 of the family's 1533-position model. The record is from RNAcentral.
AGCGAACGCUGGCGGCAGGCCUAACACAUGCAAGUCGAACGAACUCUUCGGAGUUAGUGGCGGACGGGUGAGUAACACGUGGGAACGUGCCCUUUGGUACGGAAUAACUCAGGGAAACUUGAGCUAAUACCGGAUGUGCUCUUCGGGGGAAAGGUUGAUCGCCAUUGGAGCGGCCCGGGUCUGAUUAGCUAGUUGGUGAGGUAAAGGCUCACCAAGGCUACGUGCAGUAGCUGGCUUGAGAGGAUGAUCAGCCACAUUGGGACUGAGACACGGCCAAAACUCCUACGGGAGGCAGCAGUGGGGAAUCUUGCGCAAUGGGCGAAAGGCUGAAGCAGCCAUGACGGGUGAAUGAUGAAGGUCUGAGGAUUGUAAAAUUCUUUCACCGGGGACGAUAAUGACGGUACCCGGAGAAGAAGCCCCGGCUAACUUCGUG